AGUGAACGCUGGCGGCGUGCUUAACACAUGCAAGUCGAACGAGAACGGGUUAUAGCUUGCUAUAAUUGUCAGCUAAGUGGCGCACGGGUGAGUAAUGUAUAGGUAAUAUGCCUCUUACUAAGGGAUAACAAAUGGAAACGUUUGCUAAUACCUUAUACUCCUUAUUAACAGAAGUUAAUAAGGGAAAGAUUUAUUGGUAAGAGAUUAGCCUGUAUUGUAUCAGUUAGUUGGUGGGGUAAUGGCUUACCAAGACGAUGACACAUAACUGGUUUGAGAGGAUGAUCAGUCAAACUGGAACUGAGACACGGUCCAGACUCCUACGGGAGGCAGCAGUGGGGAAUAUUGCACAAUGGACGAAAGUCUGAUGCAGCAACGCCGCGUGGAGGAUGACACAUUUCGGUGCGUAAACUCCUUUUAUAUGAGAAGAUAAUGACGGUAUUAUAUGAAUAAGCACCGGCUAACUCCGUGCCAGCAGCCGCAGUAA
RNAcentral lists this ribosomal RNA (484 nucleotides) under uncultured bacterium. RNAcentral describes it as "partial 16S ribosomal RNA". It matches the Rfam family "Bacterial small subunit ribosomal RNA", at positions 29 to 523 of the family's 1533-position model. The record is from RNAcentral.